CUACGGGGCGCAGCAGUGGGGAAUAUUGCACAAUGGGCGCAAGCCUGAUGCAGCCAUGCCGCGUGUAUGAAGAAGGCCUUCGGGUUGUAAAGUACUUUCAGCGGGGAGGAAGGGAGUAAAGUUAAUACCUUUGCUCAUUGACGUUACCCGCAGAAGAAGCACCGGCUAACUCCGUGCCAGCAGCCGCGGUAAUACGGAGGGUGCAAGCGUUAAUCGGCAUUACUGGGCGUAAAGCGCACGCAGGCGGUUUGUUAAGUCAGAUGUGAAAUCCCCGGGCUCAACCUGGGAACUGCAUCUGAUACUGGCAAGCUUGAGUCUCGUAGAGGGGGGUAGAAUUCCAGGUGUAGCGGUGAAAUGCGUAGAGAUCUGGAGGAAUACCGGUGGCGAAGGCGGCCCCCUGGACGAAGACUGACGCUCAGGUGCGAAAGCGUGGGGAGCAAACAGGAUUAGAUACCCCUGUAGUC
RNAcentral lists this ribosomal RNA (464 nucleotides) under uncultured bacterium. Its description in RNAcentral is "partial 16S ribosomal RNA". It matches the Rfam family "Bacterial small subunit ribosomal RNA", at positions 339 to 795 of the family's 1533-position model. The record is from RNAcentral.